AGUGAACGCUGGCGGUAGGCCUAACACAUGCAAGUCGAACGGCAGCACAGAGGAGCUUGCUCCUUGGGUGGCGAGUGGCGGACGGGUGAGGAAUACAUCGGAAUCUACUCUGUCGUGGGGGAUAACGUAGGGAAACUUAAGCUAAUACCGCAUACGACCUACGGGUGAAAGCAGGGGAUCUUCGGACCUUGCGCGAUUGAAUGAGCCGAUGUCGGAUUAGCUAGUUGGCGGGGUAAAGGCCCACCAAGGCGACGAUCCGUAGCUGGUCUGAGAGGAUGAUCAGCCACACUGGAACUGAGACACGGUCCAGACUCCUACGGGAGGCAGCAGUGGGGAAUAUUGGACAAUGGGCGCAAGCCUGACCCAGCCAUACCGCGUGGGUGAAGAAGGCCUUCGGGUUGUAAAGCCCUUUUGUUGGGAAAGAAGUCCAUCUGGUUAAUACCCGGGUGGGAUGACGGUACCCAAAGAAUAAGCACCGGCUAACUUCGUGCCAGCCGCCGCCGUAA
Molecule: ribosomal RNA, 506 nt
Filed under: uncultured bacterium
Lineage: Bacteria
Description: partial 16S ribosomal RNA
Rfam family: Bacterial small subunit ribosomal RNA
Source: RNAcentral